This 513-nucleotide ribosomal RNA is filed under the name Parnara ogasawarensis. RNAcentral's name for it is "partial 16S ribosomal RNA". The stretch from base 387 to 513 matches the Rfam family "Bacterial large subunit ribosomal RNA", at positions 2473 to 2600 of the family's 2925-position model. Lineage: Eukaryota; Metazoa; Arthropoda; Insecta; Lepidoptera; Hesperiidae. The record is from RNAcentral.
GUCUUUUUGAUUUUAAUUUAAGGUCAAAUCUGCCCACUGAUUUAUAUUAAAGGGCUGCAGUAUAUUGACUGUACAAAGGUAGCAUAAUAAAUAGUCUUUUAAUUGAAGACUUGUAUGAAAGAUUUGAUGAGAUAUAAACUGUCUCUUUUUUAUAUUUAGAAUUUAAUUUUUUAGUAAAAAAGCUAAAAUUAAUUUAAAAGACGAGAAGACCCUAUAGAGUUUUAUAAUUAAUUUAUUUAUAUAUUUAUAUUUAUAAUUUAAAAUUUAAUUAAUUUAAUUAUUUUGUUGGGGUGAUAGAAAAAUAUAUUAAACUUUUUUUAAAAAAUUACAUUAAUUAAUGAAUAAAUGAUCCAUAAAUUAUGAUUAAAAGAAAAAAUUACCUUAGGGAUAACAGCGUAAUUUUUUUUUUUAGUUCUUAUAGGAAAAAGAGUUUGCGACCUCGAUGUUGGAUUAAGAUAAAAUUUAAAUGUAGAAGUUUAAAAUUUUGAUCUGUUCGAUCAUUAAAAUCUUACA